Molecule: ribosomal RNA, 165 nt
Filed under: uncultured bacterium
Lineage: Bacteria
Description: partial 16S ribosomal RNA
Rfam family: Bacterial small subunit ribosomal RNA
Source: RNAcentral
GCUAGUAAUGGCAGGUCAGCAUACUGCCGUGAAUACGUUCCCGGGCCUUGUACACACCGCCCGUCACACCAUGAGAGUUGGAAUACCCGAAGCCUGUGAGCUAACUAAUAGAGGCAGCAGUCGAAGGUAGAAUCAAUGAUUGGGGUGAAGUCGUAACAAGGUACC